GACGAACGCUGGCGGCGUGCUUAACACAUGCAAGUCGAGCGGUAAGGCCCUUCGGGGUACACGAGCGGCGAACGAGUGAGUAACACGUGAGUAAUCUGCCCAUCACUUCGGGAUAACUCCGGGAAACCGGUGCUAAUACCGAAUAUGACCACUUCAGGCAUCUGAUGGUGGUGGAAAGUUCCGGCGGUGAUGGAUGAGCUCGCGGCCUAUCAGCUUGUUGGUGGGGUAGUGGCCUACCAAGGCUUCGACGGGUAGCCGGCCUGAGAGGGUGACCGGCCACACUGGGACUGAGACACGGCCCAGACUCCUACGGGAGGCAGCAGUGGGGAAUAUUGGACAAUGGGCGAAAGCCUGAUCCAGCAACGCCGCGUGAGGGAUGACGGCCUUCGGGUUGUAAACCUCUUUCAGCAGGGACGAAGCGCAAGUGACGGUACCUGCAGAAGAAGCACCGGCCAACUACGUG
This 463-nucleotide ribosomal RNA is filed under the name uncultured bacterium. RNAcentral describes it as "partial 16S ribosomal RNA". It matches the Rfam family "Bacterial small subunit ribosomal RNA", at positions 28 to 507 of the family's 1533-position model. The record is from RNAcentral.